Molecule: ribosomal RNA, 434 nt
Filed under: uncultured Clostridium sp.
Lineage: Bacteria; Bacillati; Bacillota; Clostridia; Eubacteriales; Clostridiaceae
Description: partial 16S ribosomal RNA
Rfam family: Bacterial small subunit ribosomal RNA
Source: RNAcentral
ACGGAAGGCAGCAGUGGGGAAUAUUGGUCAAUGGGGGAAACCCUGAACCAGCGACGCCGCGUGAGUGAAGAAGUAUUUCGGUAUGUAAAGCUCUAUCAGCAGGGACGAUAAUGACGGUACCUGACUAAGAAGCCCCGGCUAACUACGUGCCAGCAGCCGCGGUAAUACGUAGGGGGCAAGCGUUAUCCGGAUUUACUGGGUGUAAAGGGAGCGUAGGUGGCCAUGCAAGUCAGAUGUGAAAUCCCGGGGCUCAACCCCGGAGCUGCAUUUGAAACUGCGUAGCUAGAGUACAGGAGAGGUAAGCGGAAUUCCUAGUGUAGCGGUGAAAUGCGUAGAUAUUAGGAGGAACACCAGUGGCGAAAGCGGCUUGCUGGACUGCAACUGACACUGAGGCUCGAAAGCGUGGGGAGCAAACAGGAUUAGAUACCCUGGUA